This 407-nucleotide ribosomal RNA is filed under the name uncultured bacterium. RNAcentral's name for it is "partial 16S ribosomal RNA". It matches the Rfam family "Bacterial small subunit ribosomal RNA", at positions 28 to 526 of the family's 1533-position model. The record is from RNAcentral.
GACGAACGCUGGCGGCGUGCCUAAUACAUGCAAGUAGGACGCAGUUGCGAACGGGAGAGUAACGCGUAGGUAACUACCUAUUAGAGGGGGAUAACUAUGGGAAACGAUAGCUAAUACCGCAUACUAGUAGAUGGACCUGCGUUGUAUUAGGUAGUCGGUUGGGUAAUGGCCUACCUAGGCAAUGAUACAUAGCCGGCCUGGGAGGGUGAUCCGCCACACUGGGACUUAGGCCAGGGCCCGACUUCUACGGGGGGGAGCAGGUGGGAAUCUUUGGCAAAUGGGGGAAACCUGACCGGGCCAAUCCGCGUGAGUUAAGGAAGGUCUCGGAUCGUAAAGCUCUGUUCUUAAGGAAGCGGUACUUAACCAGAAAGGGACGGCUAACUACGUGCCAGCCGCCGCGGUAAUUC